Molecule: non-coding RNA, 76 nt
Filed under: Escherichia coli
Lineage: Bacteria; Pseudomonadati; Pseudomonadota; Gammaproteobacteria; Enterobacterales; Enterobacteriaceae
Also listed under: 2 other names
Description: Nucleoid-associated noncoding RNA 4 (CssrE)
Rfam family: Nucleoid-associated noncoding RNA 4 (CssrE)
About the family: In E. coli small RNA transcribed from repeated extragenic palindromic element (REP325) called nucleoid-associated ncRNA 4 (nRNA4) collaborates HU protein in condensing the DNA. The secondary structure but not the sequence of the RNA is important in nucleoid condensation. Also identified in Shigella as CssrE.
Source: RNAcentral
GGUCAGAUAAGGCGCUCGCACCGCAUCCGACAUUGGCAGUGUGCCUGAUGCGACGCUGUUCGCGUCUUAUCAGGCC